This 286-nucleotide long non-coding RNA is filed under the name Helianthus annuus (common sunflower). RNAcentral describes it as "hypothetical non coding rna". The record is from RNAcentral. Lineage: Eukaryota; Viridiplantae; Streptophyta; Magnoliopsida; Asterales; Asteraceae.
UUUGCAGGUUUUACACCCGUCGCGUGCCGUAAUCGAAACUAUGCUCAAAAACGGAUUCGAUUAACUAUGAUAUGCAAAAUUCAGCAAAAGUGACUGGGCUCUACCGUAACUUACGGUAGCCACCGGUUUUGAGGAUGAGGGAGCCACUGGGCAAAACUGGUCUGCCGUAAGGCAGUAGAAAACUGUCGUAACAAUUUAUUCGCUACCGUAAGUUACGGUGGCUACCUUAACUUACGGUAGCUUUCAAACUUAACAUCUGAAUUCACAAAUUAAUAGGCUUCGAGCC